RNAcentral lists this ribosomal RNA (434 nucleotides) under uncultured Lachnospiraceae bacterium. Its description in RNAcentral is "partial 16S ribosomal RNA". It matches the Rfam family "Bacterial small subunit ribosomal RNA", at positions 341 to 792 of the family's 1533-position model. Lineage: Bacteria; Bacillati; Bacillota; Clostridia; Lachnospirales; Lachnospiraceae. The record is from RNAcentral.
ACGGGAGGCAGCAGUGGGGAAUAUUGCACAAUGGGCGCAAGCCUGAUGCAGCGAUGCCGCGUGAGGGAAGAAGGUUUUCGGAUUGUAAACCUCUGUCAACAGGGACGAAAAUGACUGUACCUGUGAAGGAAGCUCCGGCUAACUACGUGCCAGCAGCCGCGGUAAUACGUAGGGGGCAAGCGUUAUCCGGAUUUACUGGGUGUAAAGGGAGCGUAGACGGAAUAGCAAGUCUGAAGUGAAAUGUAGGGGCUCAACCCCUGAACUGCUUUGGAAACUGUUGAUCUUGAGUACCGGAGGGGCAGGCGGAAUUCCUGGUGUAGCGGUGAAAUGCGUAGAUAUCAGGAAGAACACCGGUGGCGAAGGCGGCCUGCUGGACGGUAACUGACGUUGAGGCUCGAAAGCGUGGGGAGCAAACAGGAUUAGAUACCCUGGUA